This 1472-nucleotide long non-coding RNA is filed under the name Helianthus annuus (common sunflower). Its description in RNAcentral is "hypothetical non coding rna". Lineage: Eukaryota; Viridiplantae; Streptophyta; Magnoliopsida; Asterales; Asteraceae. The record is from RNAcentral.
GGGUUUUUGUAUACGAACUCCCUCGUUCAUUCUUCACUGCCUUGUCUACCCCCGCAGCUUUUCCAGGAUCACCGAUGGUUCGUGUCGGGUUUUCAGUAAAUCUCAAAUUGAUAACUUAUGAGGGAACUAUGUCCGGCCUUAUUGUAUGUGGCCCCGGUUAAACCAACAGUUACAGUACCUAAAUGUUUAUAUAUGUUGAUUUGGUGUCGUAUAUAUGAGUUGAAUCUUAAAAUAAAAUUUGGUGCUUUCAUUAGUUCCGUCUGACGUGAUGAAUAGAGAACCAAAAACAAGCCUUCAGGUAUUCGUUUGACUUUGACUUGUGGUUUUGAAUUUUGACUUUGACAUGUUCUUGAAUUCUUUUAUCUACGAAUGAACGUGUGCCGUGCAAAAGCACCUGAUCGAUGCAGUUUGGACCAACGUCUCUAUAACAGACGAGUUUCUUCCCAGGUGAGAGACACAAACUAAACUUGAUCAAAAAAGAUGUAGUUGUGAAGUUACCUAUAUGUGUAUUAUUAUGCCAUGUGGCAAAUAAGUUCGAUCACUUGUCUUUGUGAAUCUAAUCUUCUCUCUGAAUUCACUUGUCAUUUGAGAAUGGGUGAUAUAAUUGUGUAGAUUAUUUGUAUUGAUUUAGAGAUUCAGUUGUUUAGUAUUUUCUUUGUCAUGUUGAAGAUUUAGUAGGUCUUGUAGGUUGUAAUGGCUUUCACAGUCAAUUUUAUAUCAUAUAUAUGGAUUAUGAAUUAUCAUUUUUGGGAUUUCAGCAUGAUGAGUUGUUGGUCUCUGCUUCUAAUGCCAUGAUUGCUGACGGGUCGGUUGGAAAGGGCACCUUUUUUGCCAGGUUUCCAACUGCUGGCGAUGUGAAUCAAAUGUCGGUUGGGGUGGAUUUGGUGUCGGGUCGCCUGAUGUUGACCAAUUUAAUCUUUUUUGGCUACUGAAAGUAGCGAUUUUACCAUAAAAAGUAUUAAAAAAUAAAUUUUUUGUGUGUUUUUUAUUGCUAGAGUCAAUCAUUCGGUCCGGAUAUGGUUUCUGUUAAAUCAGUAGCUACAGUUGUAUACAUGGAUUAUAGAGUCAACUUACGGAUGGUGACUUCCUAUUAAUUUCUUAGUAGCUGAAAAUGGUUAAAUGAUCAGCUAUCAACGCUUAGAUCAAAUGUUCCCAAAAUAAGCAAGGUGGAUGGAUAAAAGUUCAAACCCGGAGCGUUAUCAACAAUGAGCACACUUGAAGCACUUGGUUUGACAUUCGACAAUGGGUCAUCAGUUGUUUUAAUGGUUGUUUAUUUCAAAGUUCAUAUUCUAAGGUGUGUUUCUAUUAAAAAUGUGCAUCUAUUUAUCUUAACUAUAUAUGCACAUGUAAUUAUAAUAAAUUCUAAAUUUGCAUGAUAUUUUAGUCACAUGAUCAUCGAUCUGCGAUGGACUACAAUGAAUUGUGAUGAUCUGAACCAAAUCAUCAUCUGUUUAAUCAUUGUUAUUAUGUUU